CACCCACCCCUGAAACCAGCACUGUUCUUCUUACACCACACUAAAUCCCAAUCUUCGAUCUAGAAAAAAAUUCUCACUGAUUCCCCAGUGCUGGAGGCAGAAGGUUCCUCCUCCUGAGGCCCUAUGGUUUAAACGCAUGAAGAAGCUCUGUUUUCUUAGCGGAGCUCACCAUGCUCACAAAACGCAAAUGUAUAUGACAAUCUGGACUCCUUGGAUCUUAUCAGCAGAUUCAGCCUAUGUCUGGACCCUACUCUAAUGGAAAGCAGAGCUGUGGAGACAUAGGGGGAACACAAAUAGUCAUUGUGGCAAAACCAACCUCGCCACGAAGCAUUGGAGAAGCCUGGUUGCUCGCCUGUAUCCCCUGGAUUAUGGCCCCAUGUUAAAAAGCCUUCUUUUCCCUUGCAGAAAAGGCUUGUUCGUGCCUUUCUGCCCAGCGUUCAGUAGAUUCAAUCUACCGAACAAACAACCCAAUGACUGGACCACCUGUAUUGGGCGUGUGUCGGCAAUUUACCUCCCAGAAGCUGCGGUUAACCGCAGCUUAAUUGACGAAUGCUGGGUGGCCUUUGUUCGUUUGCCGAACACGUGGCGGCGGCCAUUUUAAAGUCCCGAACGGCCAGCGGUGUUCAGCGCCCAAACUAUGGAACUGGAAACGGACACUUAUUUGCGCGAACACCGCUGAGCCGUCAGCUUCCUUGCAUCUGCAUUCCGUCAUUUAACCGGAUGCCUGUUCAUUCGGUAGUUUAACCAUAUGAACAGCAUUACCCCAGAUAGCCAUGCCAUGGAGCCUAUUCGUGUAACGAAAGACUACGGGAAAGACUUUGGCUCCGUGGCGAUUGAACUGUACGUAUGUGAUCUGAGCACCAUCCGGUAAUAAUGUGCGCUCAGAUCUAAGCUAUCUGGGGAUAUGUAGAAUGUAUAUGUUUUGUGCAACAGUUGUAACUUUAUACAUUUUUACUGUCUUUUACUGCCAUGUGGUUAAUGGAGUUUUGCCUCUGUCCUGGGAGAUAAUUGGAUUACUUCCCAAUUAUCUCCAGGACAGAGGGAGGGAAAUUAGGAUGCAUUGUGGGAAUGUUUUACUUCUGUGUGUCUGUCAUUGGUUCAUGUCUGUCCUUUGUCACAGUCUUCCAUUUGGUCCCCUAGGGGAGUGUCCACCAGCUGGGAGACCUGCAUAAAUACUGGGCAGGUAGCCCUCAAUAAACCAGACCACUGAUUGAC
RNAcentral lists this long non-coding RNA (1215 nucleotides) under Pelobates cultripes (western spadefoot toad). Lineage: Eukaryota; Metazoa; Chordata; Amphibia; Anura; Pelobatidae. The record is from RNAcentral.